Molecule: ribosomal RNA, 722 nt
Filed under: uncultured eukaryote
Lineage: Eukaryota
Description: SSU rRNA
Rfam family: Eukaryotic small subunit ribosomal RNA
Source: RNAcentral
GGGUCACCGUUUGUUAAGCGCAAAUAUGGAUGACUGUUUUUGCUGACUUCAUUGUUUGGCUUAUAAGAGUUAUCAAAUAUCACUUUGAUUAAAUUAGAGUGCUUAAAGCAAGUGUCUUACUUGAAUAUAAAUGCAUGGAAUGAUGGAAUAUGUUGUUGUUCUAUUUGUUGGUUUUUGAACGAUGAAAUGAUUGAAAGGAACUGUUGGGGGCAUUCGUAUUGUUGUGAGAGAGGUGAAAUUCUUAGACCACAGCAAGACGAACUACUGCGAAAGCAUUUGCCAAGAAUGUUUUCAUUGAUCAAGAACGAAAGUUAGAGGUUCGAAGGCGAUCAGAUACCGCUCUAGUUCUAACCAUAAACUAUGCCAACUAGCAAUUUGCUUAUGUAUGUUUUAUGACUAGGUGAGAGGCCACGGGAAACCAAAGUAGGGUUAUGGGGGAAGUAUGGUUGCAAAGCUGAAACUUAAAGGAAUUGACGGAAGGGCACCACCAGGAGUGGAGCCUGCGGCUUAAUUUGACUCAACACGGGAAAACUUACCUGGUCCUGACACUAGAAGGAUUGACAGAUUGAUAGCUCUUUCUUGAUUUGGUGGAUGGUGGUGCAUGGCCGUUCUUAGUUGGUGGAGUGAUUUGUCUGGUUAAUUCCGAUAACGAACGAGACUCUAGCCUAUUAAAUAACACACAGAAUCAUGUCUUCUGCGGUGUUUCUUAAUGGGAUCAAGUG